AUCACUAUAUAUAUAUAUAUAUAAUUUUUUUUUUCUAGUGAAAAGCUUUUUUUUUCUGUUUUUUUUUUCUAUCUGACACAUCCUGAAAUGCUAUGAACUAUCAACAGUUAGGAAGAUAGAGCUGAAGUCAUCUUACACAGACAGACAUGCACUCAGGUCUGAGGGCCCCAGCUUGACUCUGGGCCCUCUCUGUGCCUGACCUCUGAAGUGUCCUUUCCUUCAGCGCGUCGAGUUCCUGCACCUCUGCUAUCUGCUUCACAUUCUUUCACGUUAGCAGCAUCACCCCAGCGGACAGCCUCUUCACUAGCCUUAUUCACCCUAUCUGAGACUCAGUGUGUGUGUGCAUGUGUGUGUGUGACAGCAACUAUCUUGGGCUCUCAGUUAAUUGGUAACCAGGGUUUUUGAAAACUGGAAGAGCUUUCAAACACGAUCAUAGACCAUGUCUGCAUUCGGUCUGUCCUCCUCUCCCUCCAUCCGACAGCCCGGCCGCUCACCUUUAACCUUCACUCCACCACUCAUUCUGCUCAUUUUCUGUUGAGCUGUGAUAUCUGGAGCUGGGGAGGGUCUUCAGAAAGGCAGAGUUUGCCCCCAAGGCUACACUCCAUCACUUCAAACACUCAGAGGGAAGAAGGACCCCCAAGGUGUGAAUUAAUGAUGAUGUAAUCAGGAUAAACAGUUCGGUAUGAGAGCGAGAGCAAGCAGACGUUCAGAAGAAGGCACUUCACUUCCGGGAGGGUCAGAAUCCAACAGAGAUCCCUAUCCAAAGAACGUCAGAGCCUCACUUUAAAAUGCUUCUUUAUUCUGUCCACCCAUCUUGUGGCAUGAAGUCUGGUUCACAUUGCAGAUAAUUAUAUAUACUGUAUAUAUAUUCCCAAAGCAAACAAUCUACAGAUCUGAAAACACCCUCAAAAUUCUC
Long non-coding RNA from Cyprinus carpio (common carp), 916 nucleotides. The record is from Ensembl. NCBI's taxonomy places the organism in Eukaryota, Metazoa, Chordata, Actinopteri, Cypriniformes, Cyprinidae.